CUCUGGUUAGGUUUAUACAUGAAAACCAUUUUGUGAUGUUUUAACUUUGUGAUUGGGCUUAAAAUGACGGAUUUGGUCGGUACAGUCACGGAUGGAGACGGUCCGAAAUCACCUUGUUGGCCCGUAAUAACACCACCUCCAUGUGCCCCAUGUCCACGAUUCUAAAGGUGAGCCUGCUUAGGCUGAUUGAGGAGUCAAUAAAGAGGGGGAGGGGAGCCUGAUCUCUUUUCUGUUCCUGGCCUGAAAACAGCAACAGCACCACAUGUAGCUUUGAUUGUUUGUUCUUUUACCUUUUCAGGUGGAUCUGGUGGUUCAGUUUUGUGGCACUAUUUCUGUUGUAGGGUUUAGUUGGGGGAAUGUUUGGUUAGGGUUGAGGGAAGAGCCCGGUUUCGACGGCCCUGUAAGGGUUGGACUGAGGUGGCUUCUCUUCUUUUUGUUCUUUUUUUUGCCGGCCCAUCGGUUUGAUGUUAGCUGGGGAGGCUGUGGGGUUAGUUACGUUUGUCUGUUGAAAUAAAAUUCUUCUAUUUUGGACCUCUUGACUUCUGUAACUAUGUCAGACUUCUUUGGGACACAAACUUUCUUUCGGGGUUGUGACAGAAGCAUGUAAUGCAAAGGUGAUAUGGCACGUUCGCUACAAAUGGCAACUUGGACAAAUCUGUGGUUUGCAGAGAAGGUUAACUUAUCCUGGUGAAGUGGCUUCUUUUAGAUAUAUUAAAAAUAUUAGAUGGGUAAAUAUGAUAUUAAAUAUUAGUUUUGUAAUAUUUGUGGGAAAUAUACAGCUGUAAUUUAAGUGUUGGGUGGUUCCUUUUUCAAGCCCUCGGGACCUGUUUUUGUCCUAACUGUGCAUUAUGUUAUUGCACAUUUUCUUUUUUGUUUUAUCUGAUUUAUAUGCACAAAAAUAAAGAGUAACAACUAAAAAGAAUACUUUUGAAAAAAAUGACUCUUUGUCCGGUCUGUCAAAUUAAGUGAAACUGGACAGACAUGGAAGAGCUCCGUCAUUUCACUCCGCAAUUUCAUAAUCAGGCUCGGCUAUGUUACUCAGCUUCCUUCCAUCAUCCUCACACAUUUUGGUCUCAGGAUUACACACUUGCAUACAAACAGACACACACACACACAUUAAACUGACUGAAUGAAAACACACGUAUCAAGCAACAUAUCCUUUUGUUUCACACUGUAUCUUUGUAUGUCUCCGUCUUGCAUCAGUGGAUACUGUGAAGGAUGAG
Long non-coding RNA from Acanthopagrus latus (yellowfin seabream), 1223 nucleotides. RefSeq lists it as uncharacterized. The record is from RefSeq and is a predicted model, not a curated record. The transcript is spliced from 2 exons. Lineage: Eukaryota; Metazoa; Chordata; Actinopteri; Spariformes; Sparidae.